ACUCUGACCCAGCGACGCCGCGUGCGGGAUGAAGGCCUUCGGGUUGUAAACCGCUUUCAGCAGGGAAGAAGCGAAAGUGACGGUACCUGCAGAAGAAGCACCGGCUAACUAUGUGCCAGCAGCCGCGGUAAUACAUAGGGUGCAAGCGUUGUCCGGAAUUAUUGGGCGUAAAGAGCUCGUAGGUGGUUCGUUACGUCGGAUGUGAAAAUCUGGGGCUCAACCCCAGACCUGCAUUCGAUACGGGCGAGCUAGAGUUUGGUAGGGGAGACUGGAAUUCCUGGUGUAGCGGUGGAAUGCGCAGAUAUCAGGAGGAACACCAAUGGCGAAGGCAGGUCUCUGGGCCAAUACUGACACUGAGGAGCGAAAGCGUGGGGAGCGAACAGGAUUAGAUACCCUGGUAGUCCACGCCGUAAACGGUGGGCACUAGUUGUGGGAACCUUCCACGGUUUCUGCGACGCAGCUAACGCAUUAAGUGCCCCGCCUGGGGAGUACGAUCGCAAGAUUAAAACUCAAAGGAAUUGACGGGGCCCCGCACAAGCAGCGGAGCAUGCGGCUUAAUUCGACGCAACGCGAAGAACCUUACCAAGGCUUGACAUAUACAGGAAUAUGGCAGAGAUGUCAUAGCCGCAAGGUCUGUAUACAGGUGGUGCAUGGUUGUCGUCAGCUCGUGUCGUGAGAUGUUGGGUUAAGUCCCGCAACGAGCGCAACCCUCGUUCUGUGUUGCCAGCAUUUAGUUGGGGACUCACAGGAGACUGCCGGGGUUAACUCGGAGGAAGGUGGGGAUGACGUCAAAUCAUCAUGCCCCUUAUGUCUUGGGCUGCACGCAUGCUACAAUGGCUGGUACAAACGGCUGCGAUACCGCAAGGUGGAGCGAAUCCGAUAAAGCCAGUCUCAGUUCGGAUUGGGGUCUGCAACUCGACCCCAUGAAGUCGGAGUUGCUAGUAAUCGUAGAUCAGCAACGCUACGGUGAAUACGUUCCCGGGGCUUGUACACACCGCCCGUCACAUCACGAAAGUCGGUAACACCCAAAGUCAGUGGCCCAACCGCAAGGAGGGAGCUGCCAAAGGUGGGAUCGGUGAUUGGGAUGAAGUCGUAACAAGGUAGCCGUACCGGAAGGUGCGGCUG
This 1125-nucleotide ribosomal RNA is filed under the name metagenome. Its description in RNAcentral is "bacterial SSU rRNA". It matches the Rfam family "Bacterial small subunit ribosomal RNA", at positions 380 to 1520 of the family's 1533-position model. The record is from RNAcentral.